Lepisosteus oculatus (spotted gar) is the source of this 1283-nucleotide non-coding RNA. Lineage: Eukaryota; Metazoa; Chordata; Actinopteri; Semionotiformes; Lepisosteidae. The record is from RefSeq and is a predicted model, not a curated record.
AUCAUUUAUUGUUCUUUCACCCUCAUUACAUUAAUGUUCACUAAAAUACUUUUUAAACAAUGUAAGAUCUUUUCUGUUAUAAUGACUAAAAUUCUCUCUGGCUCUCUCCUGCUACAGUGUGAACACAUGCGAUUGAAAAGCUGCAGAGUAAAGUCUCAAACCUCUCUGAACUGAAAGAGCCCUUUGUGUUGUUUGAGCAUUAUUCUGUUUUGCUUGAUUAGAUCUCUGGCAUCAUUCAGCUCCUAAAAAGCUUCAGCUCCUAAAAAGCUUUGCAAGUGACGCAAACUGGGGCGAGAGUUUUUAAACGAUAUUUCACGAUACAAACGCAGCAAAAAAAAAAAGCCAUUGUAAAAUAUGUCAAGGCUUCAACAGGCUGAUGUGGUCCUGCAACAAAAUCCCAGGAGAAAAGAACUUUGUUGAAAUGAUAUUCCGUUGUUUCAGAAAAAAACGAUGUUUGAUCACUUCGCCCGUGUGAUUAAAAAGCUGCACUGAUACCUGCUGAAAGCUGUUAUAUACAGCAGGUGAUAAUCUCACAGCAACCUUCGAUACCUGCCCGUGGUGUCCCUUCGCGUUUCUCAAGCUUUGACAAACCCACAAGUACAAGUGACACCGGCUGCACGGUCCCCAGAUCAGCUCCCCCGCGCGUUCACUGGUCUGGGCCUCAUGAUACAGCUGCGUGCGGCUGUACCAUCGCCACCUUCCCAGAGAUCAGUGGAUUCCCUGGGAGAAAGCGUGAGGAAGGAAGGGCCCAGCUCUUGUCUUGGGGUCCGGAUUGCUUGACCCGCUGUUGGAAGUUCUGGGUGUUUGGAGACUGAACUGAGUGGAGUUGAAAACUGGAGGAACUGGUGAACAAAAAGAAAAACCGUGCAAUGCAAAAACAAAGAGCUCAGCUGACCUUGCUAGCUAAGUGUCUAGAACUCUCUGUGGUGACGUUAUGUCUGUGUUAGAGCACUGAGGAAGUGUCGUCUUGCAGGGUAUAAAGGUCUCAUCCGAUGAAGAGACUUUGCAGGUUUGCUCUGGGGUUUCGCCCCGGUGAGUCGCCUCACCGGCCGCUCGACGAAACGGAUGCCGGCUCCUCGCCUUACUCACCCCCUGCUGCAGAUCAGCUGCAGCGCCUCGAGAUGUCCGUGGAAAGCCGCCCAGAGGGUCGGGGUCAUGCCGUCCUCAUCCGGGGUGUUCAGAUCCUUCCUGCUUGAUGGCGAGACCUCGGGACACAGACCAGCGCCUCUACCGCAGGACGCCUCGCAUGAUCGCCCCCGCCAGCCUGGAAAACAAGAGUCUCU